GAUGAACGCUGGCGGCGUGCUUAAUACAUGCAAGUCGAACGGACAGGCCCUGCUCUUGUUUGUUUCUUGUUUGCCGAACGCGUGUGUAACACGCGUGUAUCCUCCCCUUGUCUUUGUGAUAUCUUCACGAAACUCGGGCUAUUACCGCGUAUGAUCUCUUGCUGCAUGUUGUUCGUUGGAAAGAUUCGGCGGUUGUGGCUGGACUCGCUGCUUAUCAGCUUGUUUGUGUAGUAGUGGCUUUCCAAGGGUUUGACGGAUAGCCGGCCUGAGAGGGUGACCGGCCACAUGGGGACUGAGGGACGGAGCAGAAUGCUACGGGAGGCAGUGGGGGAGAGUAUUGCACAGUGGGCGGAAGCGUGAUGCAGCAACGCCGCGUGCGGGAUGACGGCCUACGGGUUGAAAACAGAUGUCGAAGGAGACGAAGAGUGAGUGACGGUAAUGGAUAAAGAAGCACCGGCUAACUACGUG
Molecule: ribosomal RNA, 468 nt
Filed under: uncultured bacterium
Lineage: Bacteria
Description: partial 16S ribosomal RNA
Rfam family: Bacterial small subunit ribosomal RNA
Source: RNAcentral